Long non-coding RNA from Lycium barbarum (goji berry), 248 nucleotides. RefSeq lists it as uncharacterized. The transcript is spliced from 2 exons. NCBI's taxonomy places the organism in Eukaryota, Viridiplantae, Streptophyta, Magnoliopsida, Solanales, Solanaceae. The record is from RefSeq and is a predicted model, not a curated record.
CAGAUGCUGCCGUUUCCACGGCAGAUAUUGGCUCACGUCUUCUGCUUGAUUCCUUCUAUGGCUGCAUGCAAUGGGACUAUAGCUCAGUUAGCCGGAAAGCCUGCCGAGAAAAAUACAGCAAAUUGAUGCAAAUUAAAUCUAUUUGAGAGAAGUUGAAUAUUAGUGCGUACAAACGUACAAUGAUACAAAAUAAACCUCUGAAAUUAGUUUAUUCUUCCUUAUCAUAUAUUUUUAGCCGUUGUUUUGGU